CUGGCUAGCAGUAGCCGCUGGAGCAUGAGCGGUGUGGAGCUCUCCUUUCCCACCGCCCUGGAUGCAGGACUGACCACUCCCCCUCCCUUUGAAUAGGCGGCCCUGCUGCAAACACUAUAUUUCCAUCCUCUCCAGCUCCAGCGCAGAGGAUAGCACCAGGUAGUUGGAAAGAGAUCGGAGACAAGUGUGGGAAGCCGUGGAAGACAUAAGCUUUUCCCCUGGUCUUUCAGCUAAGUAGCACCUCUGAGAUGAUGAGUUACUAUAUGGACGCAACCAUCGGCAACACAGCCCCUUAUCCUUUGGCUCACCCUGGAGUGAUGAAGCAAGGUGCUGCCAGCCCCUGUGAGGAUCCCUGGGUGACCUGCGGCUUUCAGUCCGCCUGCUGCCAGCCGAGGACGUGCUGCCCGCUCUGGGAUGAGCCUGCCACGCAAGAAGUGCCCACCGGCCUGGAGCACUACA
Long non-coding RNA from Harpia harpyja (harpy eagle), 459 nucleotides. RefSeq lists it as uncharacterized. The transcript is spliced from 3 exons. The record is from RefSeq and is a predicted model, not a curated record. Lineage: Eukaryota; Metazoa; Chordata; Aves; Accipitriformes; Accipitridae.